AAAGGAAUUGACGGGGGCCCGCACAAGCGGAGGAGCAUGUGGCUUAAUUCGAUGCAACGCGAAGAACCUUACCUAGGCUUGACAUGUGACUGCACGCCCGGUGAAAGCCGGGUUCCUUCGAGGGUGUCACACAGGUGCUGCAUGGCUGUCGUCAGUUCGUGCCGUGAGGUGUUUGGUUAAGUCCACCAACGAACGCAACCCCUGCGUCCAGUUGCCAUCGGGUCAUGCCGGGAACUCUGGACGGACCGCCCCUUCAAACGGGAGGAAGGUGGGGAUGACGUCAAGUCAGUAUGGCCCUUACGCCUAGGGCUGCACACGUGCUACAAUGGCCGGUACAGAGGGACGCAAGACCGCGAGGUGGAGCAAACCCCCAAAACCGGCCCCAGUUCAGAUUGGAGUCUGCAACCCGACUCCAUGAAGUUGGAUUCGCUAGUAACGGCGCAUCAGCAUUCGGCGCCGUGAAUACGUUCCCGGGCCUUGUACACACCGCCCGU
RNAcentral lists this ribosomal RNA (494 nucleotides) under uncultured bacterium. RNAcentral describes it as "bacterial SSU rRNA". It matches the Rfam family "Bacterial small subunit ribosomal RNA", at positions 903 to 1397 of the family's 1533-position model. The record is from RNAcentral.